AGUUACUGAGCCUGGCCUCAAGCUUGGGAUCCUCCCGAGUCUCCAGGAUUACAGACUUGCUCCACUGCACCUGGCCUAGGGAUUUUCAUAUAUAUUUGCUUCAUUUGAUCUCCAGAGCAACAUGCUGCAGUCUGUAUGCUUAUAAUUACCAUUUUCCAUACAAAUAGAAAACUAUGUUUCAAAGAAAUGAAAUGAUCUACUCUUGGAAUUUUAAUCUGAACCUGUUUGACUUCAAAGCCCUACCAAUCUCCAUGUUGUUACCCAAUCCAGAGGGGUUAUGUUCAUAAAAUGUCCUUAUUUCACAAUAUUAUAGGAAGCAUUCUUAGCCUGGUUUCUUCCAAGUUUCCAGAGCUCCUGAUUUACUUUCAGUGCCCAAAGCAAGAGGCAACUCCCUUCAGAGAUUUCAAAAGAGUUAAAUGAUAAUUUCUCCUGCUUCUCAUCACAGCAUCCUUUUUCUUUUUAAACUGCCUGCAUCGGGGCUUAGUGACAAUAGAUGAAAAACGAAAAAGGAUGCCAGACAAUGGCAACCUUCAGGGUAGCAAGAAUGCCUUUUUUAGUAGGCAGCUUCUAAGGUCUCAGUACAAUGAGUGCUGUUGGCCUGGAUCACCCAGUCAGGAGGGUAAAUUGGCAGUGCAAUUUCUGCCUCCUGCCCAGAGGCGCCUAUUGUCUUCACACUGGUCCUUGGCACCCUAGGGCAUCCCUCAUCCCUGCACUGUGGUGUCCCAAUUAGGCUUACUCUGUGUGGCUGGCACCCAUCAACCAAAAUUAUUCCUCUCUGUUCAGCUACAGAAUUGUCAUCUCUAUUUCCAACUGGCAACAGCUUGUCACCCAUCUGAGAUAUAUUUCCAUCUAAACAAAGCUCUAUGCCAGCCCUUUGCAUAAAAAUGUUCAAUGUUUUCCCAUUGUAGCCAGAAUAAAACCCAAACUCCUUGCCUUGGCCUCUGAGGCCUUCUAUGGUCUGGCCCAGUCUAGCACAUCAUGCGCUAUUACUUCCCUUCUUACUAAUGGGACAACCCAGUUAUAUUCCUUCAUUUUUCACAAAUACUCCAAAAUCAUUUUCGUUUUCUUUUUCUGCAAUCUGGCUUCUUCUCCUCACACAGGGCUUACCUCGGUUGAAAACUAGAGAGUCUUUGCUCACCCAUCAACCUUCUACAUCUUCCUUCUCACUCACCUGACUUUGCUUUAUUCAUUUUCUAUUUUUGAUACUGGGCGUCAGAUCCAGAGACUUGCACAUGCCAGGCAGCAGCUCUACCACAGAGCUACAUCACCAGCCUGACCUCACUCUAAUCACCUCACCCUUUUUUUUUUGGUACUGGGGACUGAACUCAGGGGCACUUAACCACUGAGCCACAUUCCCAGCCCUUUUUUGUAUUUUAUUUAGAAAUAGGGUCUCACUGAGUUGCUUAGGGUCUCACUAAUUUGCUGAGGCUGGCUUUGACCUUGAGAUCUUCCUGCCUCAGCCUCCUGAACUGUUGGGAUUACAGGCACAUGCCAUUAUGCCCGGCUCUAUUUUUUUUUAAAGAAAAAAAAUUUAAAAAUAAAGUUUCAGCCAUAGUGGUACAAAUCUCUAAUUCCAACUACUAGGGAGACUGAGGCAGGAGGAUCACAAGUUUGAGGCCAACUUCAACACUUUGUGAGACCCUCACCAAAAUAAAAAAUGAAAAGGACUGAGGAUGUAACUUAGUGGUAAAGUUCUCCUGGGUUGAAUCCCCAAUACUAUACCCCCACCUUACCCUACCC
Molecule: long non-coding RNA, 1740 nt
Filed under: Marmota monax (woodchuck)
Lineage: Eukaryota; Metazoa; Chordata; Mammalia; Rodentia; Sciuridae
Source: RNAcentral